UACGUAGGGGGCUAGCGUUGUCCGGAAUCAUUGGGCGUAAAGAGCGCGUAGGCGGCCAGAUAAGUCCGGUGUGAAAGUCACAGGCUCAACCUGUGAAUGCCGCUGGAAACUGUCUGGCUAGAGUCCGGGAGGGGCGAGUGGAAUUCCUGGUGUAGCGGCGAAAUGCGUAGAUAUCAGGAGGAACACCGGUGGUGUAGACGGCUUUCUGGACCGUAACUGACGCUGAGACACGAAAGCGUGGGUAGCAAACAGG
This 253-nucleotide ribosomal RNA is filed under the name uncultured bacterium. Its description in RNAcentral is "partial 16S ribosomal RNA". It matches the Rfam family "Bacterial small subunit ribosomal RNA", at positions 524 to 776 of the family's 1533-position model. The record is from RNAcentral.